AAAAAAUAGCGCCAGGACUAAGUAUUUAGUUGACGAGGACCAGACUUAUCGAAAGAUUCGGCGGGUAGUCUGGAGGUUGAUACAACCUUUAACGAUGGACAAAACCAAUGUGCGAACAUUGAACAAAGCCA
This 131-nucleotide non-coding RNA is filed under the name uncultured Holdemanella sp. Its description in RNAcentral is "glmS glucosamine-6-phosphate activated ribozyme". It matches the Rfam family "glmS glucosamine-6-phosphate activated ribozyme aptamer", at positions 5 to 154 of the family's 167-position model. Rfam says of the family: This entry contains a glucosamine-6-phosphate activated ribozyme that is found in the mRNA for GlmS. GlmS is an enzyme that uses fructose-6-phosphate and glutamine to generate glucosamine-6-phosphate. The record is from RNAcentral. Lineage: Bacteria; Bacillati; Bacillota; Erysipelotrichia; Erysipelotrichales; Erysipelotrichaceae.